AGCUUUGUUCUCUACCUUAUUCCACAAAUGGUAAAUUUAAGGAGACUUGUUCUUUUGUGCUUCGGAUUCAAUCUUUUUUUUCAUACAGAAAAAUAAUUUUAAAUUUGAUAGAACCAAAGGUUGGUUAACCGAUAACCGGAACAUUGCGGUUUAACAAACAAAAAAAAAGAAAAAUUGAUAAAUAUUAACUACUCUUUUUUUUGGUCGAAUCUACUUUAAG
RNAcentral lists this long non-coding RNA (220 nucleotides) under Capsella rubella. RNAcentral describes it as "long non-coding RNA (CRUB_LNC000754)". The record is from RNAcentral. Lineage: Eukaryota; Viridiplantae; Streptophyta; Magnoliopsida; Brassicales; Brassicaceae.